Molecule: long non-coding RNA, 253 nt
Filed under: Carica papaya (papaya)
Lineage: Eukaryota; Viridiplantae; Streptophyta; Magnoliopsida; Brassicales; Caricaceae
Description: long non-coding RNA (CPAP_LNC013114)
Source: RNAcentral
AUUACAAGAGGAAGCCUAAGAGCCUAAGGCAAGGCUCAACCUUGCACAUGAUUGGUCUUAGGCCCACAAGGCCAAAAGGAGGGAGGAAAAAAAAGUCCCGCUCGUACUGGGAAUUUUUACCCCUUGAGGAAUCUGAUUCCUCAUGUACUUCUUAAUGUGAUCCCAAAUAGGCCAAAAUUAAUCCCAAAGAAAUAAUUCCACAAGAAGCAAAAUUCUCAUGAGAUAAAAAUUUACAAGGCUAGGGAACCAACAG